UCAUAGAGGGUGAGAAUCCCGUCUGGGAUGGGCGGCCGCGCCCGUGUGAAGCUCCUUCGACGAGUCGAGUUGUUUGGGAAUGCAGCUCUAAGCGGGUGGUAAAUUUCAUCUAAAGCUAAAUACUGGCCGGAGACCGAUAGCGCACAAGUAGAGUGAUCGAAAGAUGAAAAGCACUUUGAAAAGAGAGUUAAACAGCACGUGAAAUUGUUGAAAGGGAAGCGUUGUCCACCAGACUCGCCCGGGGGGGUUCAGCCGGCACCUGUGCCGGUGUACUCCUCUCCGGGCGGGCCAGCAUCGGUUUGGGCGGCUGGUGAAAGGCCCCGGGAAUGUACCACCCUUCGGGGUGCCUUAUAGCCCGGGGUGCCAUACAGCCAGCCUGGACCGAGGCCCGCGCUUCGGCGAGGAUGCUGGCGUAAUGGUGGUCAACGGCCCGUCUUGAAACACGGACCAAGGAGUCUAACAUCUAUGCGAGUGUUCGGGUGUCAAACCCGUCCGCGCAGUGAAAGCGAACGGAGGUGGGAGCCCCUCGGGGCGCACCAUCGACCGAUCCUGAUGUCUUCGGAUGGAUUUGAGUAAGAGCAUAGCUGUUGGGACCCGAAAGAUGGUGAACUAUGCCUGAAUAGGGCGAAGCCAGAGGAAACUCUGGUGGAGGCUCGCAGCGGUUCUGACGUGCAAAUCGAUCGUCAAAUUUGGGUAUAGGGGCGAAAGACUAAUCGAACCAUCUGGUAGCUGGUUCCUGCCGAAGUUUCCCUCAGGAUAGCAGUAACGACAUCAGUUUUAUGAGGUAAAGCGAAUGAUUAGAGGCCUUGGGGUUGAAACAACCUUAACCUAUUCUCAAACUUUAAAUAUGUAAGAAGCCCUUGUUGCUUAGUUGAACGUGGGCGUUAGAAUGAAACGUUACUAGUGGGCCAUUUUUGGUAAGCAGAACUGGCGAUGCGGGAUGAACCGAACGCGAGGUUAAGGUGCCGGAAUGCACGCUCAUCAGACACCACAAAAGGUGUUAGUUCAUCUAGACAGCCCGACGGUGGCCAUGGAAGUCGGAAUCCGCUAAGGAGUGUGUAACAACUCACGGGCCGAAUGAACUAGCCCUGAAAAUGGAUGGCGCUCAAGCGUGCUACCCAUACCUCGCCGUCGGGGUAGAAACGAUGCCCCGACGAGUAGGCAGGCGUGGGGGUCCG
Molecule: ribosomal RNA, 1178 nt
Filed under: Talaromyces pinophilus
Lineage: Eukaryota; Fungi; Ascomycota; Eurotiomycetes; Eurotiales; Trichocomaceae
Description: LSU rRNA
Rfam family: Eukaryotic large subunit ribosomal RNA
Source: RNAcentral